CCUACGGGUGGCAGCAGUGAGGAAUAUUGGUCAAUGGACGAGAGUCUGAACCAGCCAAGUAGCGUGAAGGAUGACUGCCCUAUGGGUUGUAAACUUCUUUUAUAAAGGAAUAAAACGAGGCACGUGUGCCUUUUUGCAUGUACUUUAUGAAUAAGGAUCGGCUAACUCCGUGCCAGCAGCCGCGGUAAUACGGAGGAUCCGAGCGUUAUCCGGAUUUAUUGGGUUUAAAGGGAGCGUAGAUGGGUUGUUAAGUUAGUUGUGAAAGGUUGCGGCUCAACCGUAAAAUUGCAAUUGAUACUGGCAGUCUUGAGUACAGUUGAGGUAGGCGGAAUUCGUGGUGUAGCGGUGAAAUGCUUAGAUAUCACGAAGAACCCCGAUUGCGAAGGCAGCUUACUAAACUGUGACUGACAUUGAUGCUCGAAAGUGUGGGUAUCAAACAGGAUUAGAUACCCUUGUAGUC
Molecule: ribosomal RNA, 460 nt
Filed under: uncultured bacterium
Lineage: Bacteria
Description: partial 16S ribosomal RNA
Rfam family: Bacterial small subunit ribosomal RNA
Source: RNAcentral